GAUGAAGAACGUAGCGAAAUGCGAUAAGUAGUGUGAAUUGCAGAAUUCAGUGAAUCAUCGAAUCUUUGAACGCACAUUGCGCCCCUUGGUAUUCCAUGGGGCAUGCCUGUUCGAGCGUCAUUUGUACCUUCAAGCUUUGCUUGGUGUUGGGUGUUUGUCUCGCCUUUGCGUGUAGACUCGCCUUAAAAUAAUUGGCAGCCGGCGUAUUGAUUUCGGAGCGCAGUACAUCUCGCGCUUUGCACUCAUAACGACAGCGUCCAAAAGUACAUUUUACACUCUUGAACUCGGAUCAGGUAGGGAUACCCGCUGAACUUAAGCAUACCAAUAAGCGGAGGA
RNAcentral lists this unclassified non-coding RNA (336 nucleotides) under soil metagenome. Its description in RNAcentral is "partial contains 5.8S ribosomal RNA, internal transcribed spacer 2, and large subunit ribosomal RNA". The stretch from base 1 to 120 matches the Rfam family "5.8S ribosomal RNA", at positions 35 to 154 of the family's 154-position model. The record is from RNAcentral.